Molecule: ribosomal RNA, 253 nt
Filed under: uncultured bacterium
Lineage: Bacteria
Description: partial 16S ribosomal RNA
Rfam family: Bacterial small subunit ribosomal RNA
Source: RNAcentral
UACGGGGGGGGCAAGCGUUGUUCGGAAUUACUGGGCGUAAAGGGUUCGUAGGCGGCCAACUAAGUCAGACGUGAAAUCCCUCAGCUUAACUGGGGAACUGCGUCUGAUACUGGAUGGCUUGGAUUCGGGAGAGGAAUGCGGAAUUCCAGGUGUAGCGGUGAAAUGCGUAGAUAUCUGGAGGAACACCGGUGGCGAAGGCGGCAUUCUGGACCGACAUUGACGCUGAGGAGCGAAAGCCAGGGGAGCAAACGGG